AUCAGAAACCCAGGCACAGACUCUGUCCCUGAGGAAAGCUGUCUCCGCUCGUGACACAUGGCAUGCUCGCUCUUCAGGGCAGGUUACCAUGAAGAGACAUUGAGAGCCCAGAGAUGUGGCUGAGAUUUCCGAGUAGUUUCCUGAGCCUGGCUGUCUGGACCUCUCCACUUCAGCCGGAAACAAGGACUAAAAGGCACCAGAGUGGCCCGGACUACAAUGAAACAACAAUCAACUCCAGGACGUGGCAGCACCCCCAACCUCCCAAAGACGAUCAACGCCCCAGGCCAGCAGGAAGCAGCCUUAAGACAUCUUCG
Molecule: long non-coding RNA, 314 nt
Filed under: Cricetulus griseus (Chinese hamster)
Lineage: Eukaryota; Metazoa; Chordata; Mammalia; Rodentia; Cricetidae
Description: lncRNA (ENSCGRG00015032535.1)
Source: RNAcentral